This 392-nucleotide ribosomal RNA is filed under the name uncultured bacterium. RNAcentral's name for it is "bacterial SSU rRNA". It matches the Rfam family "Bacterial small subunit ribosomal RNA", at positions 29 to 416 of the family's 1533-position model. The record is from RNAcentral.
AUUGAACGCUGGCGGCAUGCCUAACACAUGCAAGUCGAACGGCAGCACAGCAGUAGCAAUACUGUGGGUGGCGAGUGGCGGACGGGUGAGGAAUACGUCGGAAUCUGCCCAGUCGUGGGGGAUAACUAGCCGAAAGGUUAGCUAAUACCGCAUACGACCGAGAGGUGAAAGCGGGGGACCGCAAGGCCUCGCGCGAUUGGAUGAGCCGACGUCGGAUUAGCUAGUUGGCGGGGUAAAGGCCCACCAAGGCGACGAUCCGUAGCUGGUCUGAGAGGAUGAUCAGCCACACUGGAACUGAGACACGGUCCAGACUCCUACGGGAGGCAGCAGUGGGGAAUAUUGGACAAUGGGGGCAACCCUGAUCCAGCCAUUCCGCGUGAGUGAAGAAGGCC